UACGUAGGGGGCAAGCGUUAUCCGGAUUUACUGGGUGUAAAGGGAGCGUAGACGGACUGGCAAGUCUGAUGUGAAAGGCGGGGGCUCAACCCCUGGACUGCAUUGGAAACUGUUAGUCUUGAGUGCCGGAGAGGUAAGCGGAAUUCCUAGUGUAGCGGUGAAAUGCGUAGAUAUUAGGAGGAACACCAGUGGCGAAGGCGGCUUACUGGAAGGUAACUGACGUUGAGGCUCGAAAGCGUGGGGAGCAAACAGG
This 253-nucleotide ribosomal RNA is filed under the name Blautia obeum. RNAcentral's name for it is "partial 16S ribosomal RNA". It matches the Rfam family "Bacterial small subunit ribosomal RNA", at positions 524 to 776 of the family's 1533-position model. The record is from RNAcentral. Lineage: Bacteria; Bacillati; Bacillota; Clostridia; Lachnospirales; Lachnospiraceae.